Molecule: small RNA, 130 nt
Filed under: Marmota monax (woodchuck)
Lineage: Eukaryota; Metazoa; Chordata; Mammalia; Rodentia; Sciuridae
Source: RNAcentral
GCUGGGCAUGGUGGCACACGCCUGUAAUCCUAGCAGCUCGGGAGGCUGAGACAGGAGAAUCAGGAGUUCAAGGCCAGCCUCAGCAAUGGCCAGGUGAGGCACUAAGCAACUCAGUGAGACCCUGUCUCUA